CUCUUCCGCCUCCUCCUCAGUGCAGCGAACAUGUAGAGCCAAGCGAUCAUUGCCACUGUUUUGUUUUUGGGCCUGUAUGGGAACUUUUGAGUCACCUGAGGCAAGGACUAGGUCAGCACUGGGAGCACAGGUGAAGGGAAUUCAGCUGUGUGACCAAAAGGGGUGGAACCAGGCUCCACCUCUCCUAGACCCUAGUUAUGUGCUGACUACAACUGGAGAAGGAGCUUUUUCUGGAGAUUGCUCCUUUUUGGAGUUUUCUACUACGAGCCUAGAUCCUUGGAUACGGGGAUGGCCACUGUUUCACAGCCGCCAACCCCCCGGAUUCCAUGGAAAACUGAUGAGCUGGUGUGGGUUGAGCAGUUGUCAUGGUUUUGUAACUUCGCUAUUGGUAUUCCACAUCAUAACAUCAUGGACAAAAGAGAAGAACUACGUAUCCCAGAGGACCUCACGGUCAGAGAAGGAAGACACAUCACGGA
Gallus gallus (chicken) is the source of this 476-nucleotide long non-coding RNA. RefSeq lists it as uncharacterized. The record is from RefSeq and is a predicted model, not a curated record. Lineage: Eukaryota; Metazoa; Chordata; Aves; Galliformes; Phasianidae. The transcript is spliced from 3 exons.